RNAcentral lists this long non-coding RNA (327 nucleotides) under Musa acuminata (dwarf banana). RNAcentral describes it as "long non-coding RNA (MACU_LNC007052)". The record is from RNAcentral. Lineage: Eukaryota; Viridiplantae; Streptophyta; Magnoliopsida; Zingiberales; Musaceae.
CUGCAGCCUUGCCGCAGCUAUUCUCCUCUCUUCUUUUUCUUCUUCUUCUUCUUCUUCUUCUCUUCUCCCUCUUCUUCCUCCCUUCUUCUCCCCACGCUCCACCGCUCCUCUCUCUGUUCGAGAAACAGACCCACGCCCCACCGCUUCUCUCUCUGUUCGAGAAAAACUCGUGGGAGGCGGUGGGAUAAAACCGAAUUUUCGGUUUUCCUUUAUCUUUUUUUUUCUUUUUGCAACUUAACAGUUUAGUCCUUGAAAUUUCCAUAUUUACAUAUAGGUCCCCCGAUUUAUAAAUAAAUCUUUAUUAAUAAUUUUUCAAAAGUGAGGGAU